Molecule: ribosomal RNA, 253 nt
Filed under: uncultured bacterium
Lineage: Bacteria
Description: partial 16S ribosomal RNA
Rfam family: Bacterial small subunit ribosomal RNA
Source: RNAcentral
UACAGAGUGGGCAAGCGUUGUCCGGAUUUACUGGGCGUAAAGCGCCCGUAGGCGGCUUUUUAAGUUGGACGUGAAAGCUCCCGGCUUAACUGGGAGAGGCCGUUCAAAACUGAGAGGCUAGAGUGAGGCAGAGGAGCGCGGAAUUCCCGGUGUAGUGGUGGAAUGCGUAGAUAUCGGGAGGAACACCAAUGGCGAAGGCAGUUUGCUAGGCUGAUUCAGACACUGAGAUGUGAAAGCGUGGGGAGCGAACGGG